This 62-nucleotide transfer RNA is filed under the name Holotrichia parallela (large black chafer). RNAcentral describes it as "tRNA-Asp". Lineage: Eukaryota; Metazoa; Arthropoda; Insecta; Coleoptera; Scarabaeidae. The record is from RNAcentral.
AAAAAUUUAGUUAAAAAAUAACAUCAACUUGUCAAGUUGAAAUUAUCUUCUGAUAAUUUUUU